CCGGAUUAAUACCGCAUACGCUCUACGGAGGAAAGGGGGGGAUCUUAGGACCUCCCGCUACAGGGGCGGCCGAUGGCAGAUUAGCUAGUUGGUGGGGUAAAGGCCUACCAAGGCGACGAUCUGUAGCUGGUCUGAGAGGACGACCAGCCACACUGGGACUGAGACACGGCCCAGACUCCUACGGGAGGCAGCAGUGGGGAAUUUUGGACAAUGGGCGAAAGCCUGAUCCAGCAAUGCCGCGUGUGUGAAGAAGGCCUUCGGGUUGUAAAGCACUUUUGUCCGGAAAGAAAACCUCCGCCCUAAUAUGGUGGGGGGAUGACGGUACCGGAAGAAUAAGCACCGGCUAACUACGUGCCAGCAGCCGCGGUAAUACGUAGGGUGCAAGCGUUAAUCGGAAUUACUGGGCGUAAAGCGUGCGCAGGCGGUCCGCUAAGACAGAUGUGAAAUCCCCGGGCUUAACCUGGGAACUGCAUUUGUGACUGGCGGGCUAGAGUAUGGCAGAGGGGGGUAGAAUUCCACGUGUAGCAGUGAAAUGCGUAGAGAUGUGGAGGAAUACCGAUGGCGAAGGCAGCCCCCUGGGCCAAUACUGACGCUCA
Molecule: ribosomal RNA, 596 nt
Filed under: Paraburkholderia sp.
Lineage: Bacteria; Pseudomonadati; Pseudomonadota; Betaproteobacteria; Burkholderiales; Burkholderiaceae
Description: bacterial SSU rRNA
Rfam family: Bacterial small subunit ribosomal RNA
Source: RNAcentral